This 323-nucleotide long non-coding RNA is filed under the name Trifolium pratense (red clover). RNAcentral describes it as "long non-coding RNA (TPRA_LNC000697)". The record is from RNAcentral. Lineage: Eukaryota; Viridiplantae; Streptophyta; Magnoliopsida; Fabales; Fabaceae.
UCUGAUUUACCAACUCCAUUUUCAUCCAAAUGAAACUACUUUUGCUCUCAAAGUUUCAAAUCUAGAAAUAACUCAUCUUCCUCCAACUUCAUCUCCAUCUUCUUUUCCUUCUUCAACCUCCUCUCUACCAACACCACAAACUCAAAUACCACCCUUCAAACACAAACAAAGCUAUUGCUCCCAAAACAAUAAUAACCCAAAAAAUUGCAUCUUCAGGAACAAAAAUUAAUUUCUCACUUCAGAUCUAUUUCUUUUUUAGAGCAAAAUAAAUUUUAUUUGGGUUUGAAUGUGUUGAGUUUGGGUUAAGAAAAUGUUUCCAUGAG